RNAcentral lists this ribosomal RNA (253 nucleotides) under uncultured bacterium. RNAcentral describes it as "partial 16S ribosomal RNA". It matches the Rfam family "Bacterial small subunit ribosomal RNA", at positions 524 to 776 of the family's 1533-position model. The record is from RNAcentral.
UACGGGGGGGGCAAGCGUUGUUCGGAUUUACUGGGCGUAAAGCGCACGUAGGCGGAUCGAUCAGUCAGGGGUGAAAUCCCAGAGCUCAACUCUGGAACUGCCUUUGAUACUGUCGAUCUGGAGUAUGGAAGAGGUAAGUGGAAUUCCGAGUGUAGAGGUGAAAUUCGUAGAUAUUCGGAGGAACACCAGUGGCGAAGGCGGCUUACUGGUCCAUUACUGACGCUGAGGUGCGAAGGCGUGGGGAGCAAACAGG